AGAGUUUGAUCCUGGCUCAGGACGAACGCUGGCGGCGUGCCUAAUACAUGCAAGUAGAACGCUGAAGAGAGGAGCUUGCUCUUCUUGGAUGAGUUGCGAACGGGUGAGUAACGCGUAGGUAACCUGCCUUGUAGCGGGGGAUAACUAUUGGAAACGAUAGCUAAUACCGCAUAACAAUGGAUGACACAUGUCAUUUAUUUGAAAGGGGCAAUUGCUCCACUACAAGAUGGACCUGCGUUGUAUUAGCUAGUAGGUGAGGUAAUGGCUCACCUAGGCGACGAUACAUAGCCGACCUGAGAGGGUGAUCGGCCACACUGGGACUGAGACACGGCCCAGACUCCUACGGGAGGCAGCAGUAGGGAAUCUUCGGCAAUGGGGGCAACCCUGACCGAGCAACGCCGCGUGAGUGAAGAAGGUUUUCGGAUCGUAAAGCUCUGUUGUAAGUCAAGAACGGGUGUGAGAGUGGAAAGUUCACACUGUGACGGUAGCUUACCAGAAAGGGACGGCUAACUACGUGCCAGCAGCCGCGGU
This 531-nucleotide ribosomal RNA is filed under the name uncultured bacterium. Its description in RNAcentral is "bacterial SSU rRNA". It matches the Rfam family "Bacterial small subunit ribosomal RNA", at positions 8 to 521 of the family's 1533-position model. The record is from RNAcentral.